AUUGAACGCUGGCGGAAUGCUUUACACAUGCAAGUCGAACGGCAGCACGGACUUCGGUCUGGUGGCGAGUGGCGAACGGGUGAGUAAUACAUCGGAACGUGCCCGGACGUGGGGGAUAACUACUCGAAAGAGUGGCUAAUACCGCAUACGAUCCAAGGAUGAAAGCGGGGGAUCGCAAGACCUCGCGCGUUUGGAGCGGCCGAUGGCAGAUUAGGUAGUUGGUGAGGUAAAGGCUUACCAAGCCUGCGAUCUGUAGCUGGUCUGAGAGGAUGAUCAGCCACACUGGGACUGAGACACGGCCCAGACUCCUACGGGAGGCAGCAGUGGGGAAUUUUGGACAAUGGGCGAAAGCCUGAUCCAGCCAUUCCGCGUGCAGGAUGAAGGCCCUCGGGUUGUAAACUGUCUUUUGUACGGAACGAAAAGGCUCUUGCUAAUACCAGGAGUCCAUGACGGUACCGUAAGAAUAAGCACCGGCUAACUACGUGCCAG
RNAcentral lists this ribosomal RNA (489 nucleotides) under uncultured bacterium. RNAcentral describes it as "bacterial SSU rRNA". It matches the Rfam family "Bacterial small subunit ribosomal RNA", at positions 30 to 511 of the family's 1533-position model. The record is from RNAcentral.